GCCUCCACAUUCUUUAAACCCUUUAUUACUAUUAAGUAAUUUUAUAAGUUUAUAAAAGCUUNUAUGCUAAAACUAGUAACAAGAAAUUGAANUCCUCCAAAAUNUAAGCGUAAACCAAAAUCGGACUAACCAUUGGUAAUUAACAUUAAUAAACUUACUAUAGCAACAUACCCAGAAAACACUAUAUUUUUACACGUUAACCUUACACAAGCAAAUUUCCGGAAAGAUUAAAAGAANGAGAAGGAACUCGGCAAAUUUUAACCCAGCCUGUUUACCAAAAACAUCGCCUCUUGACAAAAUAUAAGAGGUCCAGCCUGCCCAGUGAUAUACUUAAACGGCCGCGGUACCCUGACCGUGCAAAGGUAGCAUAAUCAUUUGUUCUUUAAAUAAGGACCUGUAUCAACGGCAUCACGAGGGUUAUACUGUCUCCUCUUUCCAAUCAGUGAAACUGACCUCCCCGUGAAGAGGCGGGGAUAAAAAUACAAGACGAGAAGACCCCAUGGAGCUUUAAACCCAAUAACAAGUCUUCCUAAACAAGCCUUCAAAAAUAUAGAUUACUGUUUAUUGGUUUUAGGUUGGGGUGACCACGGAGAAAAAAUUAACCUCCUUGACGAAGAGAUAUUAUCUUUAUCUAAGAGCCACUGCUCAAAGAACCAAAAAUUUGACGUUACAUGAUCCGGCAACCGAUCAACGAANNAAGUUACCCUGGGGAUAACAGCGCAAUCCAUUUNAAGAGCCCCUAUCGACAAAUGGGUUUACGACCUCGANGUUGG
RNAcentral lists this ribosomal RNA (773 nucleotides) under Limnonectes microtympanum (Sulawesi wart frog). RNAcentral's name for it is "partial 16S ribosomal RNA". It matches the Rfam family "Bacterial large subunit ribosomal RNA", at positions 1502 to 2535 of the family's 2925-position model. Lineage: Eukaryota; Metazoa; Chordata; Amphibia; Anura; Dicroglossidae. The record is from RNAcentral.